AACGAACGCUGGCGGCAUGCCUAACACAUGCAAGUCGAACGAGACCUUCGGGUCCAGUGGCGCACGGGUGCGUAACGCGUGGGAACCUGCCCUUAGGUUCGGAAUAACUCCCCGAAAGGGGUGCUAAUACCGGAUAAUGUCUUCGGACCAAAGAUUUAUCGCCUUUGGAUGGGCCCGCGUUGGAUUAGCUAGUUGGUAGGGUAAAAGCCUACCAAGGCGACGAUCCAUAGAUGGUCUGAGAGGAAGAUCAGCCACACUGGAACUGAGACACGGCCCAGACUCCUACGGGAUGCAGGAGUGGGGAAUAUUGGAAAAUGGGCGGAAGCCUGAUCCAGCAAUGCCGCGUGAGUGAUGAAGGCCUGAGGGUUGUAAAGCUCUUUUACCCGGGAUGAUAAUGACAGUACCGGGAGAAUAAGCUCCGGCUAACUCCGUG
This 433-nucleotide ribosomal RNA is filed under the name uncultured bacterium. Its description in RNAcentral is "partial 16S ribosomal RNA". It matches the Rfam family "Bacterial small subunit ribosomal RNA", at positions 29 to 507 of the family's 1533-position model. The record is from RNAcentral.